Molecule: non-coding RNA, 22 nt
Filed under: Arabidopsis thaliana (thale cress)
Lineage: Eukaryota; Viridiplantae; Streptophyta; Magnoliopsida; Brassicales; Brassicaceae
Source: RNAcentral
UGUGAGGCGGUCGAGUCCUGUG